This is a long non-coding RNA of Taeniopygia guttata (zebra finch), 2280 nucleotides long. The record is from Ensembl. NCBI's taxonomy places the organism in Eukaryota, Metazoa, Chordata, Aves, Passeriformes, Estrildidae.
GAACUCCUGUAUCUCUCUGUCUUAAUGAAGUUGUAAUCAUCACAAAUAUACACAGAUGUGUGCAUGCAGUGCACCCCUUUCCACUGCACUUUCAUUUAAUUCCCUUCCAUUUAUCUCUUUACUCCUAAAUGAGGAACAAAAGCAGCCUGUUGUUACUCCCUGUUUUCUCUUUUGGUCUUAAACUUGUUCAGAUUUCAGUUUUGUCUCUGAACUUCAGCACAAGAGCAGAUGGAAAGCCUAGAUGUAAGUUUCAUGUGAGCAGAGUGAUUCAUUCAUUCCAAGUUGAACAUUCACAUGGAAUUAAAUCACUUCCAUAGGUUGUUUUAAAACAGGGAAACACAUUGCUGUGUUUCAUCCUGAACAGGUGGAAUUUUCCUAGAGGAGCUGAGGCAGCACAGUGAGUCUUGGAAGGUUUCUGUUGCCCAAACAGAGCAGUGUGAGUGUGACAGCAAGUUUGACAUUCAUUACCUUUCUUGUUCUGUGGAGACACUGCAUGUGAUUACUCUCCUGCAGGCCAUCACAAGUUGUCAUUUCUGGUUGCUGUUGGCUUGGAUUUGCUGUGGUCCCACACACUGCUGCUUGCAAAGUCAUGAGCUGUGUUGUAAUGUCUGCAAGUGUGUGUCAUUCCUGCACAUGAAAGGACUGAGGACUGCAAAUUAAGGCUGUGUAGCUCUCUUUUUCUGCCUGGAAAAAGAGGUUUCUACAAAAUAUGAGAUUGUAACUCUUCCUACUGAGUAAAAAUUUGCCAAGUUCUUUUGGCCUGAAAAUAUUUAGGUAACAUCAUUCAUUAGCAGGACACUCAUUUCAGUCAAAGCCUAUUUUAACUUUUACAUAGCAAGUUACUCAAAUCUAUUAAUUUUCUACUCUGACCUGUUAUAAGCUGCUCUAGUUAAAAAAAAAAAAAAAUGUGCAGGGUGAUAGAAGUGAAGAAAGAGGCAUAAAGUGCAUUGGAAAACUCCCAAAUGUCCCCUGCAAAUGGACCCUAUUCAGAAUCAGUAAGCGUGUGAUGAGUGAAGUGGUUUUGAAUAUCGCCUUUAGAUUCCAUGCUGUUACAAGGCCAGCCCCGAACAUGGCAACUCUUAUUUCCACACACAGUACCUCUUCACUCUCAAUUUAACCCAAAAAUCUGAUGAACCCAUUACUCCAUACUUGAUUUCAUGGAACAAGGAGUAGAUAUAGUUACAAAUGAUCAAUCACAAGCCGUGAACCAAAGCAGCAAGGCAUUAACAAUUCACACCAUUUCGGUCCACUUGCUCAAGCAGAAGAUGUGCCAGCAUAUUUAAUGCACAGCUACUUCGUUCAGUCCAGGAAAGACAUGACUCAUGCUCAUUUUAGGAACUGAGGAGACUUGGUAGGUUUUCAUACCUACUAACCACCCAGGGUUAGAGUUUGCAUUUCUAACCAAUUAACACAACCAGGUGAUUAGUAAAGGGCAUGGCUGUGGACGAGGCUUUAAAUUCGAUUUUGCUCAGGUAAAAAAAAAAACUACACAGAAAGAUGACCAGAGAAGUGGUUCCCACAAUAAAAGCCAAGUUGUGUUGUAGGAAUUUGUAGUGUACAAUCAACAUCUUGUUCAGCAGAAUUGUAACACUGCAGACCCCACAGGCAUAUGCCGUCAAUUUAAUGGGAUCACUGGGAAAGCAAAGCAGCUGUGAAAGAUUGCUUUAAGUACAGCAAUCGUGUACUUGUCAUUCUGCUCAAUGGUGGAAAAAUCCAAAUUCGGAUAGGCAUCAGUAUUUAAGAAAAUGACUGCUAAAGCAUCUCUCAUAAGUACCUUGGGGACAAUAGGAUUUGACAUAUAGCAUAUAAACAAAAGUACACAGCAGCUGUUAGAUUAGUUUUUGUUUGAGUAAAAACACUCCGAUGCAAUUUAAGCAACAGAGGAAAAUGCAUGGUCUCCAUAAUUCUAUUUCCCUAUGCAAAUUACAGUUUGGACAGUGUGUGCCAUUUGCCCUGGACAAGGAACUGCUAAAAAUCUGAAGUUGCUAUGUAUUGCUAAAAAUCAUGGUUGCUAAAAAUUAGAAACGUGAAGCACUGCGAGCACCAACUCAAUCUUAUGCCUUUAGUGAUAUAUAUAUAUAUAUAAGUAGAUAUAUAUGUACUUAAAUUGAAGUACCAAAGUACCUUCAGGAAAAAAAGACUUGUCACUAAAAAGUAUAAAAAGAAUUUCUAAUAUUUUGGUCAAAUCGAAAGAUCUUUGUUUCCCCUAAUGGAAAUAAACGUUGAUGAUUUCUUUCUGGUUGUUCUGAUAUUGGUAUUUGCUUAAAAAAAAAAAAAAAA